RNAcentral lists this ribosomal RNA (251 nucleotides) under uncultured prokaryote. RNAcentral's name for it is "partial 16S rRNA". It matches the Rfam family "Bacterial small subunit ribosomal RNA", at positions 525 to 775 of the family's 1533-position model. The record is from RNAcentral.
ACGUAGGGGGCAAGCGUUGUCCGGAUUUACUGGGUGUAAAGGGUGCUCAGGCGGGUUUGUAAGUCAGUGGUGAAAUCCCGGGGCUUAACUCCGGAACGGCCAUAGAAACUGCAAGCCUAGAGUGCGGAAGAGGUAGAUGGAAUAUCUGGUGUAGCAGUGAAAUGCGUAGAUAUCAGAUAGAACACCAGUGGCGAAGGCAGCCAACUGGACCGUUACUGACGCUGAAGCACGAAAGCGAGGGGAGCGAACAG